Molecule: non-coding RNA, 25 nt
Filed under: Mus musculus (house mouse)
Lineage: Eukaryota; Metazoa; Chordata; Mammalia; Rodentia; Muridae
Source: RNAcentral
UGUGAGAGAGAGAAUGAGCUGAGGG